Molecule: transfer RNA, 73 nt
Organism: Setaria italica (foxtail millet)
Lineage: Eukaryota; Viridiplantae; Streptophyta; Magnoliopsida; Poales; Poaceae
Rfam family: tRNA
About the family: Transfer RNA (tRNA) molecules are approximately 80 nucleotides in length.
Source: Rfam
GUCCCUUUCGUCUAGCGGUUCAAGAUCUCGUCUUUUCAUGUCGAAGACACAGGUUCAAUUCUUGUAAGGGAUA